RNAcentral lists this ribosomal RNA (497 nucleotides) under uncultured bacterium. RNAcentral's name for it is "partial 16S ribosomal RNA". It matches the Rfam family "Bacterial small subunit ribosomal RNA", at positions 28 to 507 of the family's 1533-position model. The record is from RNAcentral.
GAUGAACGCUGGCGGCGUGCCUAAUACAUGCAAGUCGAGCGAACGGACGAGAAGCUUGCUUUUCUGAUGUUAGCGGCGGACGGGUGAGUAACACGUGGAUAACCUACCUAUAAGACUGGGAUAACUUCGGGAAACCGGAGCUAAUACCGGAUAAUAUUUUGAACCGCAUGGUUCAAAAGCGAAAGACGGUCUUGCUGUCACUUAUAGAUGGAUCCGCGCUGCAUUAGCUAGUUGGUAAGGUAACGGCUUACCAAGGCAACGAUGCAUAGCCGACCUGAGAGGGUGAUCGGCCACACUGGAACUGAGACACGGUCCAGACUCCUACGGGAGGCAGCAGUAGGGAAUCUUCCGCAAUGGGCGAAAGCCUGACGGAGCAGCGCCGCGUGAGUGAUGAAGGUCUUCGGAUCGUAAAACUCUGUUAUUAGGGAAGAACAUAUGUGUAAGUAACUGUGCACAUCUUGACGGUACCUAAUCAGAAAGCCACGGCUAACUACGUG